CCUACGGGAGGCUGCAGUGAGGAAUAUUGGUCAAUGGACGAGAGUCUGAACCAGCCAAGUAGCGUGAAGGAUGACUGCCCUAUGGAUUGUAAACUUCUUUUAUCAAGGAAUAAAACGAGGCACGUGUGCCUUUUUGCAUGUACUUUAUGAAUAAGGAUCGACUAACUCCGUGCCAGCAGCCGCGGUAAUACGGAGGAUCCGAGCGUUAUCCGGAUUUCUUGGGUUUAAAGGGAGCGUAGAUGGGUUGUUAAGUCAGUUGUGAAAGUUUGCGGCUCAACCGUAAAAUUGCAAUUGAUACUGGCAGUCUUGAGUACAGUUGAGGUAGGCGGAAUUCGUGGUGUAGCGGUGAAAUGCUUAGAUAGCACGAAGAACCCCGAUUGCGAAGGCAGCUUACUAAACUGUGACUGACACUGAUGCUCGAAAGUGUGGGUAUCAAACAGGAUUAGAUACCCCUGUAGUC
This 460-nucleotide ribosomal RNA is filed under the name uncultured bacterium. RNAcentral describes it as "partial 16S ribosomal RNA". It matches the Rfam family "Bacterial small subunit ribosomal RNA", at positions 338 to 795 of the family's 1533-position model. The record is from RNAcentral.